Molecule: long non-coding RNA, 510 nt
Filed under: Homo sapiens (human)
Lineage: Eukaryota; Metazoa; Chordata; Mammalia; Primates; Hominidae
Description: long intergenic non-protein coding RNA 2718
Source: RNAcentral
UUUGAUUUAUGCCUACUCACAUAUACUUGGUACAUGCACGUUCCUUAGAGGAGGGGAGAUAGGAAGACACACAUGUAAAUUUCCACCUCAGUUUGGAAACAGAUACUGCAAUCCCAGAAAAUCUUGCCAUAAGAAGAGCCUAGCCAAUAGUUUGACUGCGAUUUCAUGGGAGACCUCAAGGCAGAGUGAUCCAGAAUACCACAGUCUGGAGGCUAUGAAGUCCAUGAUUAAGAAGCCAGCACGUUUGCUUUCUGGUUCCAAGAUGGCAUACCUUUUUGCUGCUUCCUCCAGAGAGGAGGAACACUGUGUUCUCACAUAGUAGAAGAUGGAAGGAGCAGAUGCAGAUGAGCAUGGCAAUGUGAGAAUAUGUCAGAGGCCCCAGGAUGAAAUGAGCUCAAGUCCCUGAAAUCCCUGUUAGAAGAGUCUUUCCACUGGUUGGGAAUGCUAAUUGUAUUUUGACAACUCAAUGUUUCAGCAACUCAAAAUGUUACAGCUUCUGCAUUGGAAUAA